This 497-nucleotide ribosomal RNA is filed under the name uncultured bacterium. RNAcentral describes it as "bacterial SSU rRNA". It matches the Rfam family "Bacterial small subunit ribosomal RNA", at positions 28 to 506 of the family's 1533-position model. The record is from RNAcentral.
GACGAACGCUGGCGGCAUGCCUAAUACAUGCAAGUCGAACGCUGAAGCACUCUGCUUGCAGAGUGCGGAUGAGUGGCGAACGGGUGAGUAACACGUGGGAAAUCUGCCUAGGAGUGGGGGAUAACAUUCGGAAACGGAUGCUAAUACCGCAUAUCUUUUUGAACCGCAUGGUUCUUAAACGAAAGACGGCUUCGGCUGUCGCUCUUAGAUGAUCCCGCGGCGUAUUAGUUAGUUGGUGGGGUAAAGGCCUACCAAGACCAUGAUACGUAGCCGACCUGAGAGGGUGAUCGGCCACACUGGGACUGAGACACGGCCCAGACUCCUACGGGAGGCAGCAGUAGGGAAUCUUCCACAAUGGGUGAAAACCUGAUGGAGCAAUGCCGCGUGAAUGAAGAAGGUCUUCGGAUCGUAAAGUUCUGUUAUUAGAGAAGAACAAGUCAAGGAGUAACUGUCUUGACUUUGACGGUACCUAACCAGAAAGUCACGGCUAACUACGU